Dermacentor silvarum is the source of this 510-nucleotide long non-coding RNA. RefSeq lists it as uncharacterized. The transcript has 5 exons. The record is from RefSeq and is a predicted model, not a curated record. NCBI's taxonomy places the organism in Eukaryota, Metazoa, Arthropoda, Arachnida, Ixodida, Ixodidae.
CUGUGGCCGAGAAACCCUUUACUUAGUUGGGGCAUCAGCGACUAUAUUUGGUACAAAUAAGGUGAAGUGUAUGAAAUCAUCAUUUUAUCGUAAUUAUAGCAAUGGUUGUAACCGCCAAGUAGAGUUCGACGAGACAACCGAAGCGAAGUCAUGGCCAAAGAUAAGGCAAGCGGCAGUGUCGUUCCACAGGAAGUAUACAAUUUGGCCAAGAAUUAUGAGCAAAUCAGUCCAGCCACACAUCUGGAUUACUUACAUUGGACUAACCCCACCUGAAAGUGUUCCGCGAAAAUACAGCAUUUUGCACGCGAAUAGCCAUUGCAUCAUUACAGGAGUGCUUCCAGAGCCAGGAGAAACAACCAGCUGCACUUACUGGGUUACAGAGCACGACGUUGAAAGUCGCAAUUCAGAUUGUGACUACAUUUUCUUGCAUUACUGCACGUCCCCGCAAUCUUUUUCGUCAAAGGAAUGUCAGUAGUGUUGGAGCUUAUUAAUAAAAACGCAUUUGUCUCA